CCUACACCAACAAAGAGCAGGUAGCGUGGCUUUCUUUUUUCUUUAAAGUAGUUUUAGCAGAUCCACUAUUGUUGUUGUUUAGUACAUGUUUUCAGUCAAGUCCAAGAAACAAUUACAAUCUUCGAGUCACAUGACAUGUAUAUAUAUACACACACACAACAACAACAACAACAACAAUUUGGUUUAACUAGUUGGUCUGGUUUGACCUUGUAAACCUGAUCUUUUAAAUGAAAAACAUGGAUAUAAAAAAUCCUGUAGAAUGAACUGAAGAAUUCAGUACUUUUGCCCACACAAUCUUUUAAUCAAUUUGGAAACAUCUACUGAAUACCUUUGGCCGGUUGUUACUGGAUUUUGUUUCUCUGGUGGGAGAAUGGUGCAUGAAUGCUGAGGAAGGUAUCCCAAGUGUUUUUCUUUUAGAAUAUGUAUUUUUAUCCAUCCCAAGUGCAUGAAAUCCAGAAUCUUAUUCUUUUGAAGUAUGGAUUGUCUGAUUUUCCAUCAUGCUUUAUUUUUCUAAUAUUUAAAUUGAGCUUUGCUGGUUAUAUUACUGAGCAUAAUUUGAGCAUUGUGUGUACUAAUCUGAUAGAUCAUUUUUUUCUUUUUAAAAAGAACAUUGUUGUGAUAUUGGUCGCAAAGCUAGUCGUUUUAGUGAUUCAUGUACCUCGUCCUUUCUCAUUACAGGAU
RNAcentral lists this long non-coding RNA (681 nucleotides) under Musa acuminata (dwarf banana). Its description in RNAcentral is "long non-coding RNA (MACU_LNC006172)". The record is from RNAcentral. Lineage: Eukaryota; Viridiplantae; Streptophyta; Magnoliopsida; Zingiberales; Musaceae.